Megalopta genalis is the source of this 1530-nucleotide non-coding RNA. NCBI's taxonomy places the organism in Eukaryota, Metazoa, Arthropoda, Insecta, Hymenoptera, Halictidae. The record is from RefSeq and is a predicted model, not a curated record.
AUUCUCGUCGAAUCGUUGCUGGGUAGAUUGCUCGUAGAAUUCCUCGAGGUGUAAAAGUAAUCGUAGCGGGAGUAAUAAGGGAGGACAACGUGUCACAGCGAACCGAAUUUAACAAGGAUUUUUAUCGGAUGCGAAUCACAGGCGAGAAAUGGAAAAACAAUCGUAUCGAAUGACUUCUGACCGCGCUAACUCAGAUUCCCUUCGUCUUAAAGAACGAAACCCUUUCCGCUAGACGCUCUUUGUCAAACGAUUCACCGAGGAACCCGAGAUUAACUUGAACGGCGAGGAAGCAAAAUAGCUGAAUAGGAACGUCCGCGCUAUGCGUGCUCUAAUAAUCAUACUUGAAGAAAAAGGGACGCGUGCGUGACAAGACCUAAACUCGAAAGGGGGUAAAGAAUAGACCGGGAGCGCGAGGAAGAACGAAACUAUUAAACGUGUACCGCUAAACAUAAUCUAUACAUAUUUAAAACUAUCGAAUGCUAAAGUCAUAUUCGUAAUACCACAGCAAACGGGAGAAUAAAUAAACUAAACUAAAGGAAUGAAUAAUCGAUUAACCGAAUAUUAAACGCUAGUCUGUAAUCGAUAGUCACGUAGUUAUAACUUCGAGCAGUAUCUAUAGGGAUGAUUCAGAGGUAGUCUAUUAGAGAUUAGGGUCGCAAUCGAGAUGAUUUUCUCUACGAAACUCUAAUGAAAGGAAGCUAAUAACUAAUUAUCUCCAGAGUAACCUAUUGAACUUAACGAAGCCGCGUAUGCGUGACACGUGAACACGUCGACGUGAACGGAAGACCGGAGGGGUAGAGGGAACGAGGUGUAGAGCAGAAUGGUUUUUCUCAGAUGGCGAGCCUGAGGAAACGACAGAGAGACGAGAUGGAAAAUAACAAAUUUGCACGAAUCUCUUUCUUCUCUACCUAAUCCCCUUUCUUCCCUGCUAUAUAUUUUAACGAACAAUUGUCUCUUGUUGUCCACCGUUACACCAGACGUCGAAGUCGUUACCAAACCGAAUAAUCCUGUGCGAGAAUAGAACGAAGAGUAAAUCGAAAAAUUACGAGAGUGAUAGCUAGCGAGAAAGAACGAGCGAGAGGGAGGGAAAGAAAGGGAGAAUGAACGCGACGAGUGAGAGCAAGAAAGCGUGUGAGAGAGAAAGGGAGAGAGAGAGAACGAGAGAAAGAGAGAAAGAAGAGAUAUAAUCUUUGCGUUACCUUGCAAAUUAUAGAAGGAAAAAAAAAGAAAACUGAUGGAAAAUAAAAUAUUGAAAAAGAUACUCCCUUUUCCGUAGACCCUGGUGGGACGAUGCAAUUGAACUGACUCACCCUCGAUCUCACUUGAUUUUUAAUUAUGCCUCGACAACAGCCUGGCCUGAUAUUAGUAAAUUCAUAUUGAAGAACGUUAAAUAAGGCUCUUUUUCGAGGCAGAAACGUUGAUCGAUAUGAAAAUCCCUGUUAACUGGUGAGCACAUAAUCGCCGCAUUGUAAUAUUAUUAACAUUAUUACGUUAUUAUGAAAUUGUUGAAAUAAAUGAAAUGAAAAUAAA